AUUGAACGCUGGCGGCAGGCCUAACACAUGCAAGUCGAACGAGUGGCGGACGGGUGAGUAAUGUCUGGGAAACUGCCUGAUGGAGGGGGAUAACAACUGGAAACGGUAGCUAAUACCGCAUACCAUCAGAUGUGCCCAGAUGGGAUACGCUUGUUGGUGGGGUAACGGCUCACAAAGGCGACGAUACCUAGCUAGUCUGAGAGGAUUACCAGACACACCGGAACUGAGACACGUUCCAGACUCCUACGGGAGGCAGCAGUGGAGAAUAUUGCACAAUGGGCGAAAGCCUGAUGCAGCCAUGCCGCGGGGAUGAAGAAGGCCUUCGGGUUGUAAAGUACUUUCAGCGGGGAGGCGUUACCCGCAGAAGAAGCACCGGCUAACACCGUGCCAGCCGCCGCGGUAAGUC
RNAcentral lists this ribosomal RNA (406 nucleotides) under uncultured bacterium. RNAcentral describes it as "partial 16S ribosomal RNA". It matches the Rfam family "Bacterial small subunit ribosomal RNA", at positions 30 to 526 of the family's 1533-position model. The record is from RNAcentral.